UCUUGCAUUACGCCCAGCGGGCGGAAUUUCUUCUCUGAGUUGCACAAGCAAAAACAAAUGAAUCAAAACUUUCAACAACGGAUCUCUUGGUUCUGGCAUCGAUGAAGAACGCAGCGAAAUGCGA
RNAcentral lists this ribosomal RNA (124 nucleotides) under Purpureocillium lilacinum. Its description in RNAcentral is "5.8S ribosomal RNA". The stretch from base 67 to 124 matches the Rfam family "5.8S ribosomal RNA", at positions 1 to 58 of the family's 154-position model. The record is from RNAcentral. Lineage: Eukaryota; Fungi; Ascomycota; Sordariomycetes; Hypocreales; Ophiocordycipitaceae.